GUCUAUGGCCAUGCUACCCUGAACAAGCCCUAUCUUGUCUGAUUUCAGAAGUUAAGCAGAGUUAGGUCUGAUUAGUUCUUGGAUGCGAGACCACCUAGGAAGACCAGGUGCUGUAGGCA
This 119-nucleotide ribosomal RNA is filed under the name Pteropus alecto (black flying fox). Lineage: Eukaryota; Metazoa; Chordata; Mammalia; Chiroptera; Pteropodidae. The record is from RNAcentral.